This 450-nucleotide ribosomal RNA is filed under the name uncultured bacterium. Its description in RNAcentral is "partial 16S ribosomal RNA". It matches the Rfam family "Bacterial small subunit ribosomal RNA", at positions 338 to 795 of the family's 1533-position model. The record is from RNAcentral.
CCUACGGGUGGCUGCAGUGGGGAAUUUUGGACAAUGGGGGCAACCCUGAUCCAGCCAUUCCGCGUGAGUGAAGAAGGCCUUCGGGUUGUAAAGCUCUUUCGCAAGGGAAGAAAACUUACUCAAUAACACUGGGUGAGGCUGACGGUACCUUGAUAAGAAGCACCGGCUAACUACGUGCCAGCAGCCGCGGUAAUACGUAGGGUGCGAGCGGUGCGUGGAGCUACUGGGGGCAGAUUUGUAAGUCAGAUGUGAAAUCCCCGGGCUCAACCUGGGAACUGCGUUUGAAACUACAAGGCUAGAGUAUGGCAGAGGGGGGUAGAAUUCCACGUGUAGCAGUGAAAUGCGUAGAGAUGUGGAGGAAUACCAAUGGCGAAGGCAGCCCCCUGGGUCAAUACUGACGCUCAUGCACGAAAGCGUGGGGAGCAAACAGGAUUAGAUACCCCUGUAGUC